RNAcentral lists this ribosomal RNA (118 nucleotides) under Gouania willdenowi (blunt-snouted clingfish). The record is from RNAcentral. Lineage: Eukaryota; Metazoa; Chordata; Actinopteri; Blenniiformes; Gobiesocidae.
UAUGGUGGCCACACCAGCAUGUCAUUGCCCGAUCCCAUUAGAUCUCAGAAGCUAAGCAGGUCUGGGCCUGGUUAGUAGUUGGAUGGGAGACCACUGAGAAUUCCAGGUGCCGCAGUGG